This 495-nucleotide ribosomal RNA is filed under the name uncultured bacterium. RNAcentral describes it as "partial 16S ribosomal RNA". It matches the Rfam family "Bacterial small subunit ribosomal RNA", at positions 28 to 507 of the family's 1533-position model. The record is from RNAcentral.
GACGAACGCUGGCGGCGUGCCUAAUACAUGCAAGUAGAACGCUGAAGGAGGAGCUUGCUUCUCUGGAUGAGUUGCGAACGGGUGAGUAACGCGUAGGUAACCUGCCUGGUAGCGGGGGAUAACUAUUGGAAACGAUAGCUAAUACCGCAUAAUAGCAGUUGUUGCAUGACAACUGUUUGAAAGGUGCAAUUGCACCACUACCAGAUGGACCUGCGUUGUAUUAGCUAGUUGGUGGGGUAACGGCUCACCAAGGCGACGAUACAUAGCCGACCUGAGAGGGUGAUCGGCCACACUGGGACUGAGGCACGGCCCAGACUCCUACGGGAGGCAGCAGUAGGGAAUCUUCGGCAAUGGACGGAAGUCUGACCGAGCAACGCCGCGUGAGUGAAGAAGGUUUUCGGAUCGUAAAGCUCUGUUGUAAGAGAAGAACGAGUGUGAGAGUGGAAAGUUCACACUGUGACGGUAUCUUACCAGAAAGGGACGGCUAACUACGUG